Molecule: long non-coding RNA, 327 nt
Filed under: Polistes fuscatus (common paper wasp)
Lineage: Eukaryota; Metazoa; Arthropoda; Insecta; Hymenoptera; Vespidae
Description: uncharacterized LOC122526323
Source: RNAcentral
AAAAAGAAGAAGAAGAAGAAAAAGGAGAGGAAGAAGAAGAAGAAGGAAGGAUAAUAAAAGAAUAAUAUUCGAAAUAGUUUAAUCUAAUGCAAAUUGAAUAGAUCUAUUUAUAAAGUAUAGUUAAAAGUGUCAGUGUCGUGUGUGGCGACGACGUAGGUCGAUGCAACGUUAAAAUGUGGGAAGCUCGAGUGCGUUUCUCGUUGCGAAUAAAGAAAAAGUGUGUUCGGAGUGAAUCGGCUUGUAGCUGACUAUAACUUAAAUCUGUUUGGUUCCAACUGCCAAGCCAAACCGAACAGAGAUAGCGUACCUACCUCCACGGUUAAUUAC